Molecule: ribosomal RNA, 496 nt
Filed under: uncultured bacterium
Lineage: Bacteria
Description: partial 16S ribosomal RNA
Rfam family: Bacterial small subunit ribosomal RNA
Source: RNAcentral
GAUGAACGCUGGCGGCGUGCCUAAUACAUGCAAGUCGAGCGAACGGACGAGAAGCUUGCUUCUCUGAUGUUAGCGGCGGACGGGUGAGUAACACGUGGAUAACCUACCUAUAAGACUGGGAUAACUUCGGGAAACCGGAGCUAAUACCGGAUAAUAUUUUGAACCUCAUGGUUCAAAAGUGAAAGACGGUCUUGCUGUCACUUAUAGAUGGAUCCGCGCUGCAUUAGCUAGUUGGUACGGUAACGGCUUACCAAGGCAACGAUGCAUAGCCGACCUGAGAGGGGGAUCGGCCACGCGGGAACUGAGACACGGUCCAGGACCCUACGGGGGGCAGCAGUAGGGAAUCUUCCGCAAUGGGCGAAAGCCUGACGAGGCAACGCCGCGUGAGGGAUGGAGGUCUUCGGAUCGUAAAACUCUGUUAUUAGGGAAGAACAUAUGUGUAAGUAACAGUGCACAUCUUGACGGAACCUAAUCAGAAGGCCACGGCAAACUACGU